Long non-coding RNA from Panicum virgatum (switchgrass), 418 nucleotides. RefSeq lists it as uncharacterized. The transcript is spliced from 2 exons. NCBI's taxonomy places the organism in Eukaryota, Viridiplantae, Streptophyta, Magnoliopsida, Poales, Poaceae. The record is from RefSeq and is a predicted model, not a curated record.
UUCACCUUUCUCCCUCUCCUCCCAGAUCCACCCGCCAGCACAUGCGGGUAGUUGUCGUCCCCUCCCUAGCUAGAUCCACCCGCCGGCAAGGACCGAGUGCGCAGAAGGCGCACGGGAGCAGAGAGCAGCGGCCGGCGAGGCUACGGUUGUGCUGGGGCUAACGUCCUUGGAGGGGCCUUUGGCCAUAUUGCUGGACCCGUUUGCAAGGUGAGAAUAGUCAUCCAUGGCUUCAAGGCAAAGAUGAUCAACAGAUGUCCAGAUACUUUGACCUCUUUUUCUUCAAUGUCAAAUGAUGCAACACAACUUUUUGUUGAAACAUAUAUAGCUAUCGUCCUUCAACGUAUGAUAGACUUGUAGACUUAUUUAUCAUGAUAUUUGUAUCAUGUACAUGAAUGGAUGUGUGAUGGCCGGAUUGAUA